UUAAAGUAAAAUAUAUUGUAAAAGUGUGAAUGUAUCCUCUUAAGUGUGUUAAUAGUAAUUAACCUGAAAAAAACGUUCAUUAUUGCUGCAACAUUUCAAUAAAGUGCAUACGAAUUUUUCUUGAAAAAAGUUGUAAUUGUAAAGGUUUUUAUGAACAUUUGUAAAGUGUGCAACGUAUUAAUGUGAAUAUGUAGUUGAAGUGUUUUUUAAAUGGCUGUAUUUUUAUUCUUUUACAAUGUUACCAAUUAUACACCGAGGUUUUUAGAAAACAGAAUCUGAGUUUGUACUGAAGAGGGACUUAAAUUACAAUUGAGUCCGAAAUGCAUAUGACAAAUCAAUAAAGGAAGUUCAUAACCUGAAUGCUGUAUAUGAUAGUCUACCGAACUGAAAAUCGGAUUAAAGAGACAAAUUCACAACGAAAAUAGCAGCAGCCAUAAGUGAUUUUCCAAAUAGAUGUUCUCUUUAGUCAAAUCUUAAGUUUUGUAAUUCUCCUGUUCUAGUAGCAACCAACAAAGAUCUGUUGAUCCAGAUCAAAAAACGUCUUUGCCAUUAAAUUAAUUCGCUGGAAUUAAGAAAAAUGAACUUUUUUUUUCAUAUUGUGUUUAUACAAUUUCAUGAUUUUCAAAAGUUUGUGAUUAACAUUUUUCUUUACAUCAAUUUUGGGAGCACAAGUAAUUGAGGCUUUAUCAGCCAUAACAAGAUCAUCAAAUGAUGUCUGUACAUUAAGGUAACUUUCAUUUGAUCCCAUUCUUUGGAUUCACUAUUUGUAACAUUAUCAUUUUCGGCAUCGAUAUGGAUUCCUAUAAAAACCUUCCUUUAAAAAAACAUUUGAAAUAGCAUUUUUAAUUAAUUUAUUUCAGUAUGAACCGAGCCUAUGCGUAGCUUGCAAAAGAUUUUAUUUUAUUUUGAUAUUUUAAUAUAACUAUCAAAAUGCUUUAAUAAAUAUCGAAUUACUUCAUAUCUUAUUCGUGUACAUCAUUUUAAUGACAGACGUAAUUUCUUGGUCCACUAGAUUUUAUUUACUUGUGCACUUGGGUGGAAGCAAUGCAGUUUUUAUAUUUUUAAGUGUUAUUCUUAUGUAGUUAUGAGCAAUGCAUCUGUCUAAAAACAAAAUAAUUUUCCCGUUUCUCGUAUCGCCUUUGAAUAAAGCGUGACCCGCUAAUUUCUAAAAUUGGACGUGGUUAUCCGUGAAUUUUUGAAUUUCUAUAUGGAAGUAAUUUUAAAAUAUUUUUAAAGCGUUGCAUUUGUACGGAAGAAAAUCCAAUGAGUUGCGUAACUUUACUAGCAAAAAACUUUAAAAUUGCAUAUGGUGUCAUUUGUUAUCAUAUUAAAAAAUCUUUUUUAUUAUUAAUGCAAGCUUAAUGGCAAAAAGCUUAA
This is a long non-coding RNA of Centruroides sculpturatus (bark scorpion), 1377 nucleotides long. RefSeq lists it as uncharacterized. The record is from RefSeq and is a predicted model, not a curated record. Lineage: Eukaryota; Metazoa; Arthropoda; Arachnida; Scorpiones; Buthidae. The transcript is spliced from 3 exons.